GAUGAAGAACGUAGCGAAAUGCGAUAAGUAAUGUGAAUUGCAGAAUCCAGUGAAUCAUCGAAUCUUUGAACGCACAUUGCGCCCCUUGGUAUUCCGAGGGGCAUGCCUGUUCGAGCGUCAUUAUAACCCUCAAGCUCAGCUUGGUGUUGGGGCCUGCUGCACUGGCAGCCCUUAAAAUCAGUGGCGGCGCCAUCUGGCUCUAAGCGUAGUAAUUCUUCUCGCUAUGGAGUCCUGGUGGAUGCUUGCCAUCAACCCCCAAUUUUUCUAUGGUUGACCUCGGAUCAGGUAGGGAUACCCGCUGAACUUAAGCAUAUCAAUAAGCGGAGGA
This 328-nucleotide unclassified non-coding RNA is filed under the name soil metagenome. RNAcentral describes it as "partial contains 5.8S ribosomal RNA, internal transcribed spacer 2, and large subunit ribosomal RNA". The stretch from base 1 to 120 matches the Rfam family "5.8S ribosomal RNA", at positions 35 to 154 of the family's 154-position model. The record is from RNAcentral.